UACGGGGGGGGCAAGCGUUGUUCGGAAUUACUGGGCGUAAAGGGCUCGUAGGCGGCCAACUAAGUCGGACGUGAAAUCCCCAGGCUCAACCUGGGAACUGCGUCCGAUACUGGAUGGCUUGAAUCCGGGAGAGGGAUGCAGAAUUCCAGGUGUAGCGGUGAAAUGCGUAGAUAUCUGGAGGAACACCGGUGGCGAAGGCGGCAUCCUGGACCGGCAUUGACGCUGAGGCGCGAAAGCUAGGGGAGCGAACGGG
This 253-nucleotide ribosomal RNA is filed under the name uncultured bacterium. Its description in RNAcentral is "partial 16S ribosomal RNA". It matches the Rfam family "Bacterial small subunit ribosomal RNA", at positions 524 to 776 of the family's 1533-position model. The record is from RNAcentral.